Molecule: transfer RNA, 85 nt
Filed under: Felis catus (domestic cat)
Lineage: Eukaryota; Metazoa; Chordata; Mammalia; Carnivora; Felidae
Rfam family: tRNA
About the family: Transfer RNA (tRNA) molecules are approximately 80 nucleotides in length.
Source: Rfam by way of RNAcentral
GUCUGGGUGGCUCAGUCGGUUGAGCGUCUGACUUUGGCUCAGGUCACGAUCUCGCGGUCCAUGAGUUCGAGCCCCGUGUCAGGCU